GAAAGAAAUUCAAAUCGGCUUGUGAUUCAGUGCGUCUUUGUUGAAUUUUCAAAAAUGGAAAUAAAUCUGAUAAAAAUUUUGUGCUUCCAAAGCGGUUCAGAUUAACAAUCAUGUUUUAGCAACAAGGAGAUGAAUCUCUGGGAAAAUAUCAAAUUAUUUUACUCUAGACUACAUCAUACUUAUGACAAAUCUGUUGGGAAAGAACAUAGUUUUUUGAGUUUUUAACAUUGCCGAUAUCGAUUAAACUGCACACGAUGCGAAUUUAAAUUUUUAAUGUCUUUUCUUCGACACUCCAUGCCAAAAAAUAAAUAAAAAAAGGUAUACAAAUUUGAAGAGCUGAUAUAUACAAAAGAAUAAUAUUUUACUUCACCAGAUGUGCAUUUUGAUAUUUAAUAUAUCUUCAGUUAUUCUCAAGGUUAAAGUAUUUGAAAAUCCUAAGCCGAAUAUAAUCUAUCAAAAUUUGUUGAUCGUUCAUAAAGGUUUUUGAUAAGUCAUAACUGGUCGUAAUAAAAUUUGUUGGUAAGAACAACGUGCGUUAAGUUUGUCAUUAUUUUUUUAAAAGUGUUUUUAUUUCAACCCUUAUUAUUACAAAAAGUGCAUGUAAAUCAAUGUUAAUGAAACUAAGCAGGACUGAAUGUUUUUUAAGAUACAUAUGUUAGUAAAAUGACAUGCAGAGAAGACACAUACUAUAGUAUGUCUUUAAACCGACCAAUGAAGAACAUUUUUUUUAAUUAAACAAUACAUGUACAAGUCACUAAACACAGAAUUUUGAAUGAUGUGUAACAGUGUUUGUGUUAUUAUUUAAAACAUAACAUAUGUGUACGAGAGACGACAAUGCGAUUAAUUAUCACGGGUAUCUUUUUGUGACGUUAAGUAUUAUAGAAAAAAAAGCAUCAGCUUAAUUUUUGGGUAUUGUCCAACAAACAAAGUUUUCGUAAUAACUAUAAGCCAUUUAGUAAUGUUAUUGUCAGCUCUGUCGAUUUAUAGCAUUCUCUUUUACGUAAUAAUGAAAUAAUUGUUAUAAAUAUGAUCAAAUAUUUAUCUGGUUCUAUUAUGAAAAAUUACUUCCUAACAAUGUCUCGCAAAAAUGUCACGGAUUCUUCUCAAUUUAACAACAAGGCAACAUACACUUUAUUAUUAAUUAACUAAAACACUCUUUUUUCUGUGAUCUACACUGUAUGUAAAACAGGUAAUACAUUUGUACAAGCAAAUUAGAAAAGCAGUAAGGGAUUUCCUAACGUAGUGGAAAGACCGUAAAGCCCAAGUCACACUGUCACGUUUCAAGAGCUACGUUUUACUACGUUUUGAAAGCGUAGCGAAACGGGAAUAUACGUAACGAAGCGUAUCGAAACGUAGUGAUCCUUUGUUCAAGACUAGACCGGUCCCGUAUGUUUUGAAAAUUCAACAACAAACGUAGCGAAAAUUGAAACGAAGUAGAAACCUAGUAAAUACGUAUCAAAACUUAGCGGAACGCAACAAAACGUGCUUACUAAGUAUCGAAACGUAUCAAUGCGUGGUGAAAACGUGGGUCCACACGUACUUAUACGUAGCAUUUUAAAACGUAGUAAAACUUGACAGUGUGACUGGGGCUUUAGUAUAGUAUAAAGGUCCAUAUAUAUAUCACAUGGGCCUACAUUAUUUACCUUUUGCUUGGGAAAAUGUGUA
Molecule: long non-coding RNA, 1665 nt
Filed under: Mytilus galloprovincialis (Mediterranean mussel)
Lineage: Eukaryota; Metazoa; Mollusca; Bivalvia; Mytilida; Mytilidae
Source: RNAcentral